GUGACUCGGUGGGCUCGCUGCCCCAGGGCCCCACUGCCGUCUCUGCCACCCUCGCGCGGUGAGGGCGCAGGUUCUCUGGCAGGUUUCUGCCUCCCAGGCAGGACUAAGGGGUCUGGUUCUAGUUAGGACGGAUUAAGCACAUUCCACCCUACCUCUUACACUUUUUGCAACUAAAACCUCUGGACAGAAUAUAAAAACCAGCCCUUGGAGAACUCUGAGAAGUAAGUAAGAGCAGACAUCAAAAUCGAACAAUGGGUAAAGACCUCAGAUUCGACCAAUGACCCAUAUGGUGGGGCGGCCUCUCGGCAGGGAAGGCUGGGAACUGCAAGUCUGCAGCUGCUCCACACGCCUACCCCACCACCCGGGGCCACGGGAGCCACGGCCAUCCACCAAGAACAGAGAGAGAGCAGCAGGUCUGAAGACAUGCAGUGGGACCCAUGCCCUCAGAGCUGAGAUCGUCCAUCCCAGGGGGCUCGUGGCUCGGGGGUUCAGGAAGACACUGCUAUCCCUCAGCCUCCGCCGGAGAAGAAGCAUGCGGCCCAGCCAUCCCGGCGUCAAGAGGAUACCCGGCCCUUUGGUGUAAGGACCUCCAGAGCCAAACCUAGCGGGGCCGUGAGAAGGUGUGACAGCUGCUGAGGGAGAAUCCAGAGACUUGCAAGUCAGGAGGGUUGGAGGGAGAAAUAGGAAGCACUAACUAUGUCAUUUUCUCCAGGUGACCAAGGCUGGCGAGUCUUAGUGCCUUGUGCACCGGUCUGUCUGGUCACACCCCCACGGAAGUGUUCAGAGCAGGAGGGAUUCCGUGCCAGUGAAUAGUAACAACUUUAUGUGAAUAGAAUUUCCAAUAGAUUUCUAUCCAAGUAGAAAUGUGAACAGAUUUGAAAAGAAUCUUCUUUUUUUCCAACAGGAAGUCGAUUAUGACUGAUCGGGCAAUCAGAUGAGUUUUGUCAUUUGGAGUAUAUGACACAUACCUGAAAAUUGACUGUGUUUUUAGCUCUGAGGCUUUAAAGCAAAGGAAUACAUGAUCAAAAAUUCAAAGGCCGAAGAUACAGACAUAAUGAAAAGAGGGGCCAUAUGCACCCCAAUGUUCACAGCAGCAUUGUCCACAAUAGCUAAAUCGUGGAAGGAGCCAAGAUGCCCUUCAACAGAUGACUGGAUUAAGAAGCUGUGGUCCAUAUAUACA
Long non-coding RNA from Ailuropoda melanoleuca (giant panda), 1180 nucleotides. RefSeq lists it as uncharacterized. Lineage: Eukaryota; Metazoa; Chordata; Mammalia; Carnivora; Ursidae. The transcript is spliced from 3 exons. The record is from RefSeq and is a predicted model, not a curated record.